AGAGUUUGAUCCUGGCUCAGAUUGAACGCAGGCGGCAGGCCUAACACAUGCAAGUCGAACGGUAACAGGAUGUGCUUGCACAUCGCUGACGAGUGGCGGACGGGUGAGUAAUGCUUGGGAACUUGCCUUUGCGAGGGGGAUAACAGUUGGAAACGACUGCUAAUACCGCAUAAUGUCUUCGGACCAAACGGGGCUUCGGCUCCGGCGCAAAGAGAGGCCCAAGUGAGAUUAGCUAGUUGGUGAGGUAAAGGCUCACCAAGGCGACGAUCUCUAGCUGUUCUGAGAGGAAGAUCAGCCACACUGGGACUGAGACACGGCCCAGACUCCUACGGGAGGCAGCAGUGGGGAAUAUUGCACAAUGGGGGAAACCCUGAUGCAGCCAUGCCGCGUGUGUGAAGAAGGCCUUCGGGUUGUAAAGCACUUUCAGUUGUGAGGAAAAGUUGGUAGUUAAUACCUGCCAGCCGUGACGUUAACAACAGAAGAAGCACCGGCUAACUCCGUGCCAGCAGCCGCGGUAAUACGGAGGGUGCGAGCGUUAAUCGGAAUUACUGGGCGUAAAGCGCACGCAGGCGGUUUGUUAAGCUAGAUGUGAAAGCCCCGGGCUCAACCUGGGAUGGUCAUUUAGAACUGGCAGACUAGAGUCUUGGAGAGGGGAGUGGAAUUCCAGGUGUAGCGGUGAAAUGCGUAGAUAUCUGGAGGAACAUCAGUGGCGAAAGCGACUCCCUGGCCAAAGACUGACGCUCAUGUGCGAAAGUGUGGGUAGCGAACAGGAUUAGAUACCCUGGUAGUCCACACCGUAAACGCUGUCUACUAGCUGUGUGUGAUUUUAAAUCGUGCGUAGCGAAGCUAACGCGCUAAGUAGA
Molecule: ribosomal RNA, 863 nt
Filed under: uncultured Alteromonas sp.
Lineage: Bacteria; Pseudomonadati; Pseudomonadota; Gammaproteobacteria; Alteromonadales; Alteromonadaceae
Description: bacterial SSU rRNA
Rfam family: Bacterial small subunit ribosomal RNA
Source: RNAcentral